This 497-nucleotide ribosomal RNA is filed under the name uncultured bacterium. RNAcentral's name for it is "partial 16S ribosomal RNA". It matches the Rfam family "Bacterial small subunit ribosomal RNA", at positions 28 to 507 of the family's 1533-position model. The record is from RNAcentral.
GAUGAACGCUGGCGGCGUGCCUAAUACAUGCGAGUCGAGCGAACAGACGAGGAGCUUGCUCCUCUGACGUUAGCGGCGGACGGGUGAGUAACACGUGGAUAACCUACCUAUAAGACUGGGAUAACUUCGGGAAACCGGAGCUAAUACCGGAUAAUAUAUUGAACCGCAUGGUUCAAUAGUGAAAGACGGUUUUGCUGUCACUUAUAGAUGGAUCCGCGCCGCAUUAGCUAGUUGGUAAGGUAACGGCUUACCAAGGCAACGAUGCGUAGCCGACCUGAGAGAGUGGUCGGCCACACUGGAACUGGGACACGGUCCAGACUCCUACGGGAGGCAGCAGUAGGGAAUCUUCCGCAAUGGGCGAAAGCUUGACGGAGCAACGCCGCGUGAGUGAUGAAGGUCUUCGGAUCGUAAAACUCUGUUAUUAGGGAAGAACAAAUGUGUAAGUAACUAUGCACGUCUUGACGGUACCUAAUCAGAAAGCCACGGCUAACUACGUG